GUUGACACCCAUACCACCCAGAAUGCACCUGAUCCUGGAAGCUAAGCAGGGUCGGACCUUGUUAGUGCUUGUGGGAGACUGCUUAGGAAUCAAUACUUGAAAAAU
Ribosomal RNA from Gorilla gorilla gorilla (western lowland gorilla), 105 nucleotides. The record is from Ensembl. Lineage: Eukaryota; Metazoa; Chordata; Mammalia; Primates; Hominidae.